RNAcentral lists this ribosomal RNA (328 nucleotides) under uncultured bacterium. RNAcentral's name for it is "bacterial SSU rRNA". It matches the Rfam family "Bacterial small subunit ribosomal RNA", at positions 487 to 793 of the family's 1533-position model. The record is from RNAcentral.
GAAGCACCGGCUAACUCCGUGCCAGCAGCCGCGGUAAAGUACGGAGGGUGCGAGUACGUUUAAGUCGGUAAAUUACGUGGGACGUAAAAGCGCAUGCAGGUUGGUUUGUUAAGUCAGAUGUAGAAACGGCCCGGGGCUACCAACCUACGGUAAUUGCUAUUUAGAAACUGGACAAACUAGAGUACUGUAGAGGGGGUAGAAUUUCAGGUGUAGCGGUGAAAUGCGUAGAGAUCUGAAGGAAUACCGGUGGCGAAGGCGGCCCCCUGGACAGAUACUGACACUCAGAUGCGAAAGCGUGGGGAGCAAACAGGAUUAGAUACCCUGGUAG